This 403-nucleotide ribosomal RNA is filed under the name uncultured bacterium. RNAcentral describes it as "partial 16S ribosomal RNA". It matches the Rfam family "Bacterial small subunit ribosomal RNA", at positions 30 to 526 of the family's 1533-position model. The record is from RNAcentral.
AUUGAACGCUGGCGGCAGGCCUAACACAUGCAAGUCGAGCGAGCGGCGGACGGGUGAGUAAUGUAUGGGGACUGCCCGAUAGAGGGGGAUAACUCCUGGAAACGGUAGCUAAUACCGCAUACUAUCGGAUAACCCAUAUGGGAUUAGCUAGUAGGUGAGUGAAUGGCUCACCGAGGCGACGAUCCCUAGCUGGUCUGAGAGGAUGAUCAGCAACACUGGGACUGAGAGACGUCCCAGAAUCCGACGGAGGCAGCAGAGGGGAAUAUUGCACAACGGGCGCAAGCCUGAUGAAGCCAUGCCGCGUGUAUGAAGAAGGCCCUAGGGUGGUAAAGUACUUUCAGUCGGGAGGCGUUAUCGACAGAAGAAGCACCGGCUAACUCCGUGCCAGCAGCCGCGGUAAUUC